RNAcentral lists this ribosomal RNA (776 nucleotides) under Leptographium sp. RNAcentral describes it as "eukaryotic LSU rRNA". It matches the Rfam family "Eukaryotic large subunit ribosomal RNA", at positions 90 to 897 of the family's 3401-position model. The record is from RNAcentral. Lineage: Eukaryota; Fungi; Ascomycota; Sordariomycetes; Ophiostomatales; Ophiostomataceae.
CGAGUGAAGCGGCAACAGCUCAAAUUUGAAAUCUGGCCCCCCGGCCCGAGUUGUAAUUUGGAGAGGAUGCUUUUGGCGCGGCGCCGUCCGAGUUCCUUGGAACAGGACGCCACAGAGGGUGAGAGCCCCGUACGGACGGACGCCUAGCCUCUACAAAGCUCCUUCGACGAGUCGAGUAGUUUGGGAAUGCUGCUCAAAAUGGGAGGUAAAUUUCUUCUAAAGCUAAAUACCGGCCAGAGACCGAUAGCGCACAAGUAGAGUGAUCGAAAGAUGAAAAGCACUUUGAAAAGAGGGUUAAAAAGUACGUGAAAUUGUUGAAAGGGAAGCGCCUGUGACCAGACUUGCGCCCCGCGGACCACCCGGCGUUCUCGCCGGUGCACUCCGCGGGGCGCAGGCCAGCAUCGGUUCUCCUAGGGGGACAAAGGCCGCGGGAACGUAGCUCCUUCGGGAGUGUUAUAGCCCGCGGCGGCAUGCCCCUGGGGGGACCGAGGACCGCGCUUCGGCAAGGAUGCUGGCGUAAUGGUCACCAGCGACCCGUCUUGAAACACGGACCAAGGAGUCAAGCAUUGGGGCGAGUGUAUGGGUGCCAAACCCGCACGCGAAAUGAAAGUGAACGCAGGUGAGAGCUUCGGCGCAUCAUCGACCGAUCCUGAUGUCUUCGGAUGGAUUUGAGUAAGAGCCUUACCGCUUGGACCCGAAAGAUGGUGAACUAUGCCUGAAUAGGGUGAAGCCAGAGGAAACUCUGGUGGAGGCUCGCAGCGGUUCUGACGUGCAAA